GCCCACUUAGCUCAGUUUGUAAGAGCUUCAGUCUUGAAAGUUGAGGUCCCAGGUUCAAUUCCUGGAGUGAACA
Molecule: transfer RNA, 73 nt
Filed under: Phakopsora pachyrhizi
Lineage: Eukaryota; Fungi; Basidiomycota; Pucciniomycetes; Pucciniales; Phakopsoraceae
Description: tRNA-Ser
Rfam family: tRNA
About the family: Transfer RNA (tRNA) molecules are approximately 80 nucleotides in length. Their secondary structure includes four short double-helical elements and three loops (D, anti-codon, and T loops).
Source: RNAcentral